GAUGAAGAACGUAGCGAAAUGCGAUAAGUAGUGUGAAUUGCAGAAUUCAGUGAAUCAUCGAAUCUUUGAACGCACAUUGCGCCCCUUGGUAUCCCGAGGGGCAUGCCUGUUCGAGCGUCAUUUCACCACUCAAGCCUGGCUUGGUGUUGGGCGACGUCCCUUUUGGGGACGCGCCUCGAAACGCUCGGCGGCGUGGCACCGGCUUUAAGCGUAGCAGAAUCUUUCGCUUUGGAAGUCGGGGCCCCGUCUGCCGGAAGACCUACUCGCAAGGUUGACUUCGGAUCAGGCAGGGAUACCCGCUGAACUUAAGCAUAUCAAUAAGCGGAGGA
Molecule: unclassified non-coding RNA, 329 nt
Filed under: soil metagenome
Description: partial contains 5.8S ribosomal RNA, internal transcribed spacer 2, and large subunit ribosomal RNA
Rfam family: 5.8S ribosomal RNA (bases 1-120)
Source: RNAcentral